Long non-coding RNA from Gopherus evgoodei (Goodes thornscrub tortoise), 2939 nucleotides. RefSeq lists it as uncharacterized. The record is from RefSeq and is a predicted model, not a curated record. NCBI's taxonomy places the organism in Eukaryota, Metazoa, Chordata, Testudines, Testudinidae. The transcript has 3 exons.
UUAGAAGGAAAAAAGAAGAGGAGGGAUAAUUACUUUAGUGUUUACAUGGCCAUGGCUUCUUGAUUCUGAAAGCGUAUCUGACUACAAGGACUGGAAUUAAUCUAAUUUUAAAGAACUGCCAGAAUAAUUGGACCCAUAAACAAUAUCACUUGAGCUGUAUACAAGGAUAAGAGUGUGCUUUCCAUACUGCCUUGGGAUCCAUUCAACUAAAGCCUCAGCCCCACAUGUGUUGAGGACACCUGGACUACUCAGCCUCUGGAAAGUCCCAUCACUACUCAUGCUACCAAAGUUCCAUCGCACUGGCCCAGCAGAACUAAGAACUUUACUGGAUGAUUGAUGCCCACCUUUGUAGUCCAGUGAAGGUUAACACAGAGUAACUCUCCUAUAGUCAUAGAUGGAAUAUGGCCAAUCUGCAGCACACUGCAUGACCCAGCUGAUGAUACUUAGGGAGUUCUCUGAUAUAGGUGGCCUGAUUAUCAAAAGCGCUGCAAGUCCAGCUGCUUGCAUUGAGGUCUCUUGUGGGUGUCGAGCAAUUUUGAAAAUGAGGCCAACUAUUUAUGUUUCUAAAGAUGGAGUUAGGAGCAUAACUUUUGAAAAGCUUAACCAAGAUUAAUUUGGCCCAUAGGUGCUUAGUCCUAUAUUACAGGAUAGGAAAAACAGCCCUUUUAAAAGUGCCUAGAUGAGGAUUUAUAAUUUAGGAAAAAGCUCUGAAGAAACAUUUGUCAGGCUAGUGUGUACAAUGCAAGUUUACAUAAUGGAAUUAAUUGCAAGGGCUCUGCUGGAAUGAUUUCAUUCAGGAGAGUUAUUUGAGGUAUUGAAAGAGGGAUUUCACAGCUGAAAGAAAGAGGAUUUUUCCUGAGACCGGUGGAAGUAAAACACAUUUAAAUUUCUUAAUACAGUGCUUCAGCCUCAGUGGGACUAUUGUUUUCAUGUCUUGAGAUUGAGGAGAUACCUUUAUUCACAAAUCUAUUCAGGAAUACCUUGAAAACAUUCAGUGCUUUCCUAACACAGGUGUUUAACAUCUACAGGUGGCAAAGGAGUACAUUUACUUGUUAAAAUGUGAGCCUAUUGAGUUACAAAGAGUUACAUAGAGGUGUGUCACAUCCCUACAAAGGUUGGGAUGUAGAAUAAACAGAAGAGGUGUUUCUAGCAUGCAAGGAGGAUUUGGGCCUUUAACAGGUCAGAUUGAAGAGACAAUAGAAAAGGUCAGAGGGUGAAAAUAGAAAAGGUCAGAGGUCAGUCACUGGGACAAGGAAAAGAAAUUGGGGGGGGUCAUUAUUUCAGCAUUCAAGGCUUUUAUUUCUGAAUGCUAAUGCUGACCUUUAAUAUGUGAGUGCAGAUUUUACAUUGGGGUUCUGCAAUAUUGUAUAUAACAUUUUAUUCUAAAAUAUGUUGAAGCAGACCUUUUAUGGUCUCUAUUGCUUAAUAUUAACACUAUGGGGCAGGGGGACAGUGUUCCUUUGGGUCCAUCUCCUACUAAUGUUCUCUUAUCCUCUGUCUUUCUGGGAGAAGGUCAUUUUUACUUCUCACUGUUUCUUUUAUGAUUGCUUUUAAUAGAUAUCCUAGUUAUUUAGAGAAAACCAAAAACAUUUUGCACAUUUGGGAUUUUGUCCUAACAAGAUUUUCUAACAUCUAACUACUGCAUAGCAUAAGAACAGUGUUGUUGAUAUCCGGCAACAGCAAGUGUGAAAUCUCUGUCUCAACAUACUUUAUAAUAAUGUUUAGAAAACAGUGUGUGAUUCCAUAUGGCUACCUCUCUCACGGAUGGCAUCUUGGCCAGUAAGCUUUGCUGAUGAUUGGAGAGCUAGCUUUAACAGACAGGAACAAAUUACAUGGCCACAGAUGCAAUAGCACGUCUGAUGUGCUGAGAAAAGGAACAGGUGGGAUGAAGGUCCCAAGGCUCCGACCAAGACUGCAGCAAAUAAACAACAGUAGAUAGUGUGACAUGUGUAAAGGGUGUGAGGCAGUACAGUUUGACAUCUUUGCCAUAAGGGCUAGCUGGGCCUGACAGCUUGUAUCUUCUCCCCGCCCCCAGCUGCAGUUGCCAUAUUGUACGAAUUCUUUCCUUAAAAUUCUGCUGAGUAUUCAGUUUGCAAACACAGCAAUCUAAGAUCUAAGCAAGCAAUACAUUUUUAGUGCAUGCUGCAAAUGUAGACACACAUUCCGCUAUUGUUACAGGAUUAAUAUUCCACUCACCACAUGGAAACUUUACCCAUUAUUAUCUAGACCUUCAUUAGACAUAUGGAAAUACAUGUUCCAAUAUAGUCAAUUCCAAGAGCUUUGUGUAUGUGUCAAUGUGUAAAGUGUGCAUUUGCCUACUGUUUCUUAGGCCAUAAUUUUCUCCAGGAGGAAAAAAAAUGUUAAACCACACUUCUUAACUAGUAGCCUAAAGUGUUCUUAUGGUCAUGGUCACACUAAAACGAUCAGAAACCAAGUUAUCCCUGCAGUAUGAGUUAAAAAAAACAACAUUAUAAUUAUGAUUGUCUUUUGGUAGCAAGGUAGGUAAUUAUACUGUGUAUUUGCGCCACUUGUAAUUCUACACAAUUUGUUCCAAAUCUGUUAUUUGACAAGUGUAGGAAAGGGAAACCAGAGGUGGAUAUUUAAGGGAGUGUCCUGGGAACUGUCAAAAGGUAAAUAAAUGUGGUGAAUCCCUCUCCCAUACGGCUGAACCAAACUUCAGAAACUGGGCUGUGUUAAAUAUGGGAUUCUUGCCAAGCAGUUGGCUGCCCAUAGUACCAUAAAGAGCCAACUUGCUUAGAAGAAAACAGUGUUAAAACGGAACCCAAGGAAACACUCUCCGUACAUGCAGAAAGUGUAUUUAUAGUUAACUUUUUCUAGGAGGGUACAAAUUCAUUAUUUAAUAUAUUAUUGUUUGAUGCAAGGGGGAAUAAGUAUUUUAGGAACUCUACUCUCCUAGCAUGGAUUUUCUUUAAAGGAUU